Molecule: ribosomal RNA, 803 nt
Filed under: Eleutherodactylus cuneatus (Juventud robber frog)
Lineage: Eukaryota; Metazoa; Chordata; Amphibia; Anura; Eleutherodactylidae
Description: partial 16S ribosomal RNA
Rfam family: Bacterial large subunit ribosomal RNA
Source: RNAcentral
CGUCAAAGCUUAAUUAUUAUACUUAAUAAAUCCCUCAAACAAAUUAAAACCCUACCCCGAUAUUGAAUAAUUUCAUACUCUUAUGGAAGAUAUUAUGUUAAAACUAGUAACAUGAAGCUUAAACCUUCUCUUAAAUGUAAGCAUAACUCAGGAUGGAUGACACACUGAUAACUAACAGCUUAAACCAAAGUGACAACCAAACAAGAAAACCCCGCUAAUUCAACUGUUAAUCUAACACAAGAACAUUUAAAGAAAGACUUAAAGAAAAAGAAGGAACUCGGCAAAAACUGAUUCCGCCUGUUUACCAAAAACAUCGCCUCCUGAACUAAAUCAUAGAAGGUCCAGCCUGCCCAGUGACUCUGUUUAACGGCCGCGGUAUCCUAACCGUGCGAAGGUAGCGUAAUCACCUGUUUUUUAAUUAAAGACCUGUAUGAAAGGCAUCACGAGAAUCACACUGUCUCCUUUCUCAAGUCAGUGAAACUAAUCUCCCCGUGAAAAAGCGGGGAUGUCGCUACAAGACGAGAAGACCCUUUGGAGCUUAAGACAAAUAAAUACUUGCUUCCCUAAAACCCCCUAUAUCAUACAACAUUAUAUUUAUAAGUCUUGGGUUGGGGCAACCAUGGAGUAAAAACAAACCUCCAAGCUGAAAGGAAAUUUUCUAAACAAAAAGCAACAGCUUUAUGUAUCAUUAAACUGACACAAUUUGACCCAAUAUGUAAAUUGAUUAACGAACCAAGUUACCCUAGGGAUAACAGCGCAAUCCACUUCAAGAGUUCAUAUCGAAAAGUGGGCUUACGACCUCG